GCCAGCAGCCAUAUCACCCUGCAGCUCUCAACUGGCUACCCACUGAAGCCAAGCAGGGUUGAGCCUGUUAAGUACAUGGAUGGGGGACCUCCUGGGAAGUUAUGGUUGCUGCCGCAA
RNAcentral lists this ribosomal RNA (117 nucleotides) under Lepisosteus oculatus (spotted gar). The record is from RNAcentral. Lineage: Eukaryota; Metazoa; Chordata; Actinopteri; Semionotiformes; Lepisosteidae.